Molecule: long non-coding RNA, 181 nt
Organism: Octopus sinensis (East Asian common octopus)
Lineage: Eukaryota; Metazoa; Mollusca; Cephalopoda; Octopoda; Octopodidae
Exons: 3
Source: RefSeq, a predicted model, not a curated record
UUCAUCCAAAACAGAGACGAACAGCAUUCCUCCACGUGAUCGGCUUGAAAACUUGCAAGGAUAUUAAGAUACUUUUCUUAACAUGAAACCAAUGGUAGCCUUAAGACACAAAUAUAGAAAUUUUAUCCACCAAUGUUGUGUUGAGCACUCAUUCUCAUUUACACACACACACACACAAAUA